GAUGAACGCUGGCGGCGUGCUUAACACAUGCAAGUCGAACGAACAGACGAGGAGUUUGUUCCUUUCACGUUUGCGGCGGGCGGGAGAGUAACACGAGUAACAUCCACUUAUAUUUCUGGGAAAAUCUCGGGAAACCGGAGCUAACCCCGUAUAAUCUCUUGAACCGUAUGGUUCAAUAGUAAAUUUCGGCGUUUGUGUCUCGACUAGCUGCAUAUGCGCUGCAUUAGCUAGUUGGUAAGGUAACGGCCUAUCAAGGCAACGAUGCGUAACCGAGCUGAGAGGGUGAUCGGCCACACUGGAGCUGAGACAGGGUCCAGACUACUGCGGUACGCAGCAGUAGGGAAUCGUACGCAGUGGGCGGAAGCCUGACGGAGCAGGGCCGCGUGUGUGGUGAAAGUCUUGGGAUCGUAAUACUGUGUUUUUGGGGGAGAACAGAUGUGUAAGUAGCUGAAGACGUCUUGACGGUACCUAGUCAGAAAGCCACGGCUAACUACGUG
Molecule: ribosomal RNA, 497 nt
Filed under: uncultured bacterium
Lineage: Bacteria
Description: partial 16S ribosomal RNA
Rfam family: Bacterial small subunit ribosomal RNA
Source: RNAcentral